This 696-nucleotide long non-coding RNA is filed under the name Numida meleagris (helmeted guineafowl). Its description in RNAcentral is "lncRNA (ENSNMEG00000004834.1)". Lineage: Eukaryota; Metazoa; Chordata; Aves; Galliformes; Numididae. The record is from RNAcentral.
UGUCAAUGGGAGUUAUCAGCAAGAUGAAGCUGUCAAUCAGACGGGGCUGUCAAUCAAAUGGGGCUGUCAAUCGGACAGAGGGUUGUCAAUGGGACAGAGGUGUCAAUCGGACAGGGCCGUCAAUCAGAGUCAUCAUGACGGUGACGCUGUCAAUCAGAUGGGGCUGUCAAUCGGACAGAGGUGUCAAUCAGACAGAGGUGUCAACCGGAGUUAUCAGCAAGAUGAAGCUGUCAAUCAGAUGGGGCUGUCAAUCAGACGGGGCUGUCAAUCAGAUGGGGCUGUCAAUCGAACAGAGCUGUCAAUCGGACACAGGUGUCAACUGGAGUUAUCAGCAAGAUGAAGCUGUCAAUCACAUUGAGCUGUCAAUCGGACAGGGCUGUCAACCGGAGUUAUCAGCAAGAUGAAGCUGUCAAUCAGAUGGAGCUGUCAAUCGGACAGAGGUGUUAAUUGGACAGGGCCAUCAAUCAGAGUCAUCAUCAAGGUGAAGCUGUCAAUCAGAUGGGGCUGUCAAUCGGACAGAGCUGUCAAUUGGACACAGGUGUCAACCGGAGUUAUCAGCAAGAUGAAGCUGUCAAUCAGAUGGGGCUGUGAAUCAGAUGCAGUUGUCAAUGGGACAGAGGUGUCAAUCGGACAGGGCCGUCAAUCGGAGUCAUCAUCAAGAUGACAUUGUCAAUCACAUUGGGCUGUCAAUCGGAC